Plectosphaerella plurivora is the source of this 135-nucleotide non-coding RNA. NCBI's taxonomy places the organism in Eukaryota, Fungi, Ascomycota, Sordariomycetes, Glomerellales, Plectosphaerellaceae. The record is from the annotation of a GenBank genome assembly.
GCCGGAAUGGCUCAGUGGUAGUUCGUCUCUCCACCCGUGAUUCCACCUCCAACAAUUCACUAACCUCCCCCAGGAGCGUCGCACUCGUACAUCUGCGAAAUGCGAAGGCCCACGGUUCGAUCCCGUGUUUCGGCA